CUCAUGAUAGUGAGUGAGUUCUCACAAGAUCUGAUGGUUUUAUAAGGGGCUUUUCCCCCUUUGCUUGGCACUUCUCUCUUCUGCUGCCAUGUGAAGAAGGAUGUGUUUGCUUCCCCUUCUGCUAUGAUUGUACGUCUCCUGAGGCCUCCGCAGUCAUGCAGAACUACGUCUCCACGCUGUGGGGACCCCAGGCUUGUGCAGACAUCUGUGGGAAUCCAAAGAUGGCGUGAUACGGAGAAGUCAGAAUGUGGCCAAGCAUCCUAAAUCCAUCGUCUGCGUCCCCUCUAGUGUGUUUUGUAUCAGUGUCAGGAAGAAUUAGCACUAACGUUUGGAUGUUGAUUUUAUCCACACCAGGAAGAAAAAGUAGCCAACGACGUUGUGAAGGAGAUACUAUCAUAUCCUUUAACAGCCCUGGUGAUGUUCGCUGCUCUGCACAGCACACGGUGACUACAUCCCAGAUCCAGAGCUGCGGAACUCUGGGGCCACGUCUCCAGCGCCGCAUUCGGCGGCACACGGAGGCCUGAGAAGGCGGGAGGGGUCAGUCUCUGGCUUCGAGUAGCAGCAAUACCAGGACAACCAUAGCUGAGUCAUGUCAAGAUGAACCAUAUGGCAUUACCAUUUUUUCACAGCCCUAGGGUUCCUGAGAUCACGGUGUGGCAGCGGCCCCGCCACCCCAGGACAGCUCCUCCCUUGUGCAACCCCAACACAGCAGCAGCCACACCUCCCGUUGUCAACCAGCGUCUUCCAUCACUCAGAGUCUCAAAUGCUGAUAAUCGCAGUUUUCCAAGGAAUUAUUAGCUAACGUUUUGGACACAUUAAUUUCUCUGAAACUUUCUUCAGGAGGUUUCGUAUACACGGCAAUUUUAAUCCAUUAGAGAAAUAAAUGAUGGCAUAACAAAAUAUUCAGUAUGGGAUCUCAGUAAUUAUAAAGUCUAUUUAAAGUGUUCCACGAGCUUUUAUUUAAGUCAUUUUGGGCUUUUUUUCCCCCAUUCUUUGGGAAACACAUGUGCACUCUCUGAAUAUACAGGAUAAUGGUAUUUAUUUACCACUCCACUCCCACUUUUCAUUUUUUGUAUAAAGCUUACACACCUAGAACUUUAAAUUUUUUUCAUCUAAUUAUACAACAAAUAUAUUUAUUUAAAAAUUUGAUAACUUAUACAUUUUGCAAUGCCCCAUAAUCAGAACACACAGUGAUAACCAGUGUUAGCAUGUUAAUACAUGCACUUGUAUAUGGAUUUCUCAAUUCCUGCAAAUAUUGUUUAAAUGAAUCAUGUGGUGGAUUUUUAACUUAUUUGUUUUGAAAAUACAGAUACUUAC
This 1317-nucleotide long non-coding RNA is filed under the name Homo sapiens (human). RNAcentral describes it as "HSALNT0117070". The record is from RNAcentral. Lineage: Eukaryota; Metazoa; Chordata; Mammalia; Primates; Hominidae.